This 429-nucleotide ribosomal RNA is filed under the name uncultured archaeon. Its description in RNAcentral is "bacterial SSU rRNA". It matches the Rfam family "Archaeal small subunit ribosomal RNA", at positions 474 to 903 of the family's 1478-position model. The record is from RNAcentral.
UACCUGCAGCUCAAGUAGUGACCACUAUUAUUGGGCCUAAAACGUUCGUAGCCGGUUUGGUAAAUGCCUGGGUAAAUCGUGUAGCUUAACUAUACGAAUUCCGGGUAGACUGCCAAACUUGAAACCGGGAGAAGCUAGAGGUACUCCUGGGGUAGAGGUGAAAUUCUGUAAUCCUAGGGGGACCACCAGUGGCGAAGGCGUCUAGCUAGAACGGGCUUGACGGUGAGGAACGAAGCCCUGGGGCGCAAACCGGAUUAGAUACCCGGGUAGUCCAGGGUGCAAACGCUGCUUGCUUGAUGUUAGUUGGGCUCCGAGCCCAAUUAGUGUCGGAGAGAAGUUGUUAAGCAAGCUGCCUGGGAAGUACGAUCGCAAGAUUGAAACUUAAAGGAAUUGGCGGGGGAGCACAGCAACGGGUGGAGCGUGCGGUUU